Molecule: ribosomal RNA, 492 nt
Filed under: uncultured bacterium
Lineage: Bacteria
Description: partial 16S ribosomal RNA
Rfam family: Bacterial small subunit ribosomal RNA
Source: RNAcentral
AGUGAACGCUGGCGGUAGGCCUAACACAUGCAAGUCGAACGGCAGCACAGUAAGAGCUUGCUCUUACGGGUGGCGAGUGGCGGACGGGUGAGGAAUACAUCGGAAUCUACUUUUUCGUGGGGGAUAACGUAGGGAAACUUACGCUAAUACCGCAUACGACCUACGGGUGGAAGCAGGGGAUCUUCGGACCUUGCGCGAUUGAAUGAGCCGAUGUCGGACUAGCUAGUUGGCGGGGUAAAGGCCCACCAAGGCGACGAUCCGUAGCUGGUCUGAGAGGAUGAUCAGCCACACUGGAACUGAGACACGGUCCAGACUCCUACGGGAGGCAGCAGUGGGGAAUAUUGGACAAUGGGCGCAAGCCUGAUCCAGCCAUACCGCGUGGGUGAAGAAGGCCUUCGGGUUGUAAAGCCCUUUUGUUGGGAAAGAAAAGCAGCAGGUUAAUACCCCGCUGUUCUGACGGUACCCAAAGAAUAAGCACCGGCUAACUUCGUG